GAAUUAUGUUAUGGUACCGUAAUUUCGUUGUUAAACAACGUGAUUAUGUCUUGUUUAAUAAUUUAGAAUUUUCCGUUAUAGGUAUUAUGAAUAUAAUAGCGAAUGUUUUUAGAAACUUAAUGCAGGUAUCAUUGGAUAAUCAAAAUUAUGCUUCAUUUUAAAAGUAUCUGUUUUUGUCAGUGCAAAAUGAGGACUAGUACCAUGUUGAGUAGUAAGGUGAAUCAUCACAUUGAAGGGAGAUGAAGUCCAAGAAGCCAAAAAUUGCAAAUAUUAUUCUCUUGGUUUUUAGAUGUGAAUAAAUUUUAGAUGUGUUAAUAAAAAUCCCAUUUAAAGUAAAAAAAUGAGUUUUAUACACAUUCAGAAUCAGCAAUAGAUAACUAAUUUUCAACAUAUUAAAAGUUCAUUAAAAUUAGAAAUUGUUAAAAAUUAU
This is a long non-coding RNA of Stegodyphus dumicola, 430 nucleotides long. The record is from RefSeq and is a predicted model, not a curated record. Lineage: Eukaryota; Metazoa; Arthropoda; Arachnida; Araneae; Eresidae.